Molecule: ribosomal RNA, 158 nt
Filed under: uncultured Acaulospora
Lineage: Eukaryota; Fungi; Glomeromycota; Glomeromycetes; Diversisporales; Acaulosporaceae
Description: 5.8S ribosomal RNA
Rfam family: 5.8S ribosomal RNA
About the family: 5.8S ribosomal RNA (5.8S rRNA) is a component of the large subunit of the eukaryotic ribosome. It is transcribed by RNA polymerase I as part of the 45S precursor that also contains 18S and 28S rRNA.
Source: RNAcentral
UAACUUUCAACAACGGAUCUCUAGGCUCUUGCAUCGAUGAAGAACGCAGCGAAAUGCGAUAAGUAAUGUGAAUUGCAGAAUUCCGUGAAUCAUUAAAUCUUUGAACGCAAAUUGCACUUCUUGGUAUUCCGAGGAGUAUGCUUGCUUGAGGGUUGGUC